This 75-nucleotide transfer RNA is filed under the name Microbacterium phage LeeroyJenkins. Its description in RNAcentral is "tRNA-Leu". It matches the Rfam family "tRNA". Rfam says of the family: Transfer RNA (tRNA) molecules are approximately 80 nucleotides in length. Their secondary structure includes four short double-helical elements and three loops (D, anti-codon, and T loops). Lineage: Duplodnaviria; Heunggongvirae; Uroviricota; Caudoviricetes. The record is from RNAcentral.
GCGUGUGACGGGAACCAGGCAUACCUCUUUUACUCAAAAUAAAAGGUUUGGGAGUUCGACUCUCCCCACGCGCAC